GGAAGCAAGCAGCCGCCAACAAAGCCCCCUCGGGUGUCGCUGCU
This 44-nucleotide non-coding RNA is filed under the name Alexandrium tamarense. Lineage: Eukaryota; Dinophyceae; Gonyaulacales; Pyrocystaceae. The record is from RNAcentral.